UCUGCCAUCAGGUCUGGCACAACCACUGGAAACGGUGGCUAAUACCGGAUGUGCCCUUCGGGGUGAAAGGUUAACUGCCUGUUGAUGAGCUCGCGUCUGAUUAGCUAGUUGGUGUGGUAAGAGCGCACCAAGGCGACGAUCAGUAGCUGGUCUGAGAGGACGAUCAGCCACACUGGGACUGAGACACGGCCCAGACUCCUACGGGAGGCAGCAGUGGGGAAUUUUCCGCAAUGGGCGAAAGCCUGACGGAGCAAUACCGCGUGAGGGAGGAAGGCUCUUGGGUCGUAAACCUCUUUUCUCAGGGAAGAACACAAUGACGGUACCUGAGGAAUAAGCAUCGGCUAACUCCGUGCCAGCAGCCGCGGUAAUACGGAGGAUGCAAGCGUUAUCCGGAAUGAUUGGGCGUAAAGCGUCCGCAGGUGGCUAUGUAAGUCUGCUGUUAAAGAGUCUAGCUCAACUAGAUAAGAGCAGUGGAAACUACAAGGCUAGAGUGCGUUCGGGGCAGAGGGAAUUCCUGGUGUAGCGGUGAAAUGCGUAGAGAUCAGGAAGAACACCAGUGGCGAAGGCGCUCUGCUAGGCCGCAACUGACACUGAGGGACGAAAGC
This 605-nucleotide ribosomal RNA is filed under the name Nostoc sp. 'Pseudocyphellaria coriifolia cyanobiont'. Its description in RNAcentral is "bacterial SSU rRNA". It matches the Rfam family "Bacterial small subunit ribosomal RNA", at positions 125 to 760 of the family's 1533-position model. The record is from RNAcentral. Lineage: Bacteria; Bacillati; Cyanobacteriota; Cyanophyceae; Nostocales; Nostocaceae.